Molecule: non-coding RNA, 93 nt
Filed under: unclassified sequences
Description: Rhodo-rpoB RNA
Rfam family: Rhodo-rpoB RNA
Source: RNAcentral
AGGUCGGGAGACUUUCCUUGGGAAGAAAGUCAGGAAUUGACCUUCACUGUCGUCUCAACUUUACCCGCCACUGGGUCCCCGACAGUGUGUGGA